Molecule: non-coding RNA, 1034 nt
Organism: Microcebus murinus (gray mouse lemur)
Lineage: Eukaryota; Metazoa; Chordata; Mammalia; Primates; Cheirogaleidae
Source: RefSeq, a predicted model, not a curated record
CCCCCAUACCCACAAAGCUCCCAGGUCAGCAGACCCAAGAGAGGAGGAGGCAGGGUUGUGGUGCCUGUGAGGAUGGCCAGUCGCUGGGCCAGGGUCUUGGUGUCAGGGAACAGGAUAAAGUUGUAGAUCAGUGAAGCCAGGACAGCUCCUGUCAGGGGUCCCACCCAGAAGACCUGAGGAGAAGAAAGUAGACACGCACUCAUGAGCUGUCAGGGUGGCUUUGUGGCCUCUGCCUGCUUCCCUAGAGCUGACAUGGUCUCCCAAGUCUUCCUCAACUGUCUACAAGGUGGUAAAUUUGAGAACCACGAGUCCUGCCUCCAGAGCACACAAGCUGUAAGGUGGGUGACACCUCACCACUGCUCAGCUCCAGGACUUGAGGAGAUCUGUUCAGUGGAGCUCACAUCAGCCUUGGAUACUUGCUCCCUGCAGAAGUGAGUAGCUCCCCUCACACCCCACCAAUUGGUUGGUUAGGACCAGUGGUUCAGGAUGUGGAGGCAGGAGCCCAGGACUGAUGGGGAAGGCUUGAGAAGCUGGAGAUGCUUGUUUGAGAGGAGACUGAUGGUAGGAGUAGAAAGAGAUUUGGGGAAGUAGGUGGAAUGUAGAUGGUUAGUAGAAUGGGGUGGGGGAGUAGGCAGACCUCGAGGUGCUGGGGAGGGAGGAACUUGGGGAAAACGGAGGAGCAGAGGACAGGGGGUAGAGCUUGGAGAGGAAAAUGAAGUGCUUGCAGGAUCCCCUUCCUCUACCUACAGCCCCAGCCCUCCCUUCACUACAUCUGCCCUUUAAAUACCUGGUCCUUCUCUGACUCCUUCUCCUUUUUCCUUCAACAUCUGUUCCUCACGCCACAAUCCCAUUCUAUUCUUCCUAGACUAAGGCCAAAGUCUGAUUCCUCUGGGACCCAGUACCCAGCCCAGAGUAGAUGCAGAGCAUGUGGCUGAACUGUUUCUUCCUCUGUUCUGUCUCCUCAGGUCUAGCCCUCCACCCCUCCCAUCUAUGUGGACUCCCUCCUCCUCUCCCUGCUUUGUACCCCUCCCUGC